UACGGAGGGGGCUAGCGUUGUUCGGAUUCAUUGGGCGUAAAGGGUGCGUAGGCGGCGCGGUAAGUCGGGUGUGAAAUCUCGGAGCUUAACUCCGAAACUGCAUUCGAUACUGCCAUGCUUGAGGACUGGAGAGGAGACUGGAAUUUACGGUGUAGCGGUGAAAUGCGUAGAUAUCGUAAGGAAGACCAGUGGCGAAGGCGGGUCUCUGGACAGUUCCUGACGCUGAGGCACGAAGGCCAGGGGAGCAAACGGG
Molecule: ribosomal RNA, 253 nt
Filed under: uncultured bacterium
Lineage: Bacteria
Description: partial 16S ribosomal RNA
Rfam family: Bacterial small subunit ribosomal RNA
Source: RNAcentral